AAAAAAGGGAGACCAGUACCCUAUUCCAAAACGGGGCGAAUUCCGAAAAGCCAUACGAGUAAGAAAGAUU
This 70-nucleotide non-coding RNA is filed under the name unclassified sequences. Its description in RNAcentral is "DUF805 RNA". It matches the Rfam family "DUF805 RNA". The record is from RNAcentral.